This 222-nucleotide unclassified non-coding RNA is filed under the name Resinicium rimulosum. RNAcentral's name for it is "partial internal transcribed spacer region". The stretch from base 1 to 46 matches the Rfam family "Eukaryotic small subunit ribosomal RNA", at positions 1786 to 1831 of the family's 1831-position model. The record is from RNAcentral. Lineage: Eukaryota; Fungi; Basidiomycota; Agaricomycetes; Hymenochaetales.
AAGUCGUAACAAGGUUUCCGUAGGUGAACCUGCGGAAGGAUCAUUAACGAGUUUUAAUUGUCUGAUUAGAGUUGAGCUGGUUAACAAGUGCUCUUCUAAUCGACAAGUCCACUCAUUACUUAACACUUGUGAACUUAUCUAUUAUAAACAUUAUAACUUGUCAUUGGAACGUUUGAUUAUCAAAAGUUAAUACAACUUUCAACAACGGAUCUCUUGGCUCUC